AGCGAACGCUGGCGGCAGGCUUAACACAUGCAAGUCGAACGCCCCGCAAGGGGAGUGGCAGACGGGUGAGGAACACGUGGGAACGUACCCUUCGGUUCGGAAUAACUCAGGGAAACUUGUGCUAAUACCGGAUACGUCCGAAAGGAGAAAGAUUUAUCGCCGAAGGAUCGGCCCGCGUCUGAUUAGCUUGUUGGUGAGGUAACGGCUCACCAAGGCGACGAUCAGUAGCUGGUCUGAGAGGAUGAUCAGCCACACUGGGACUGAGACACGGCCCAGACUCCUACGGGAGGCAGCAGUGGGGAAUAUUGGACAAUGGGGGCAACCCUGAUCCAGCCAUGCCGCGUGAGUGAUGAAGGCCUUAGGGUUGUAAAGCUCUUUUGUCCGGGAAGAUAAUGACGGUACCGGAAGAAUAAGCCCCGGCUAACUUCGUGCCAGCAGCAGCCGCGGUAA
This 450-nucleotide ribosomal RNA is filed under the name uncultured bacterium. Its description in RNAcentral is "partial 16S ribosomal RNA". It matches the Rfam family "Bacterial small subunit ribosomal RNA", at positions 29 to 523 of the family's 1533-position model. The record is from RNAcentral.